CAGUAGUCUUCUCUGACUGUCUUCCAUUUAGCACACUGGUUUGGGGUUCAUACUAUAGCAUAUUUGCUCUUUUUUAUUGCUGAAUAGUACUCCAUUGAAUGGACAUACCACAUUCUGUCUAGGUCACCAAUGAGUGGACAUUUGAAUUAUUUCUGAAUGUUCAAUGCUGAUAUGAACAGUUGCAUCUGAGUCUUUGUGUGGAUGUCUGUUUUCAUUUAUCUUGGGUAGAAAAUCUACUUAGAAUUGUUGGAUCUCAUGGUAAGUUGAUGCUUAGCUUUUUUUUUAAUAUUAAAAUUUUAAAGAAGCUUAAACAUGGAUAUACAGGUUUACAUUCCCACCAGGUCCCAGUCGUCUCCAGAUCCCCCACAACACUUGUCAACAGUGUCAGUUUAAAUAAUAGACAUUGUAAUGCCUGUGAAAUGUCUUCUGGAGAUUUUAAUUUGUAUUUUCCUAAUGCCUAAUUCCAUUAAGCAACUUUCAUCCACUUCUUAGUCAUUCCUGCAUCUUUUUAAAUUAAUGUCUAUUCAAAUCUUUUAUCCAUUUUAGUUGGUUUGUCUUGUUAGUGAAUGUUCAGUGUUCUUUACAUAUUUUGAAUACAAGUCCUUCAUCUCUUUUGCAAUCUGAUUUGCAGUUUUUUCUGUCCAUCUAUAGCUUGAGUGUGUGUGUGUGUGUGUGUGAGUGUGACCAGGGAUUGAACCCAUGGCCUUGCCCAUGCUAGGCAAGGAUUGUUUCAUUGGGCCAUACUCUUCUCUUUUAGUUUUCUCAAAGGUUUUGAUUUGUUUUCUUGAUAGUGGUGCUGAGGGCCAAACCCAGGCAUGAUGGACAAGCGCUAAUGGGGUCUUCUGAAGUACAAAAGUUUUAUUCUUUUUAUUUCAUUAUAUUUUUAUUUAAUUAGACUUUUUUUUGGGGGGGGGUGUAUUUUAACUAGUUAUCCAUGACAGUGGAGUGCACUUUGACACAUUAUACGUAAAUGGAGUGCAACUUCUCAUCCGUCUGGUCUCAUCUGUCCGGUUGUACGUGAUGUAGAGUUGCACAGGUCUAUGUACUCAUAUGCACGUAGAGUCAUAAUAUCUGAUUCAUUCUUCUAUCCUUCCUACCUCCAUGUCUCCUCCCCUCCCUUCACUCCCCUCUGUCUGGUCUAAAAUACCUCUCCUCCCCCUCCCUAUUGUGAAUUAGCAUCUGAAUAUCAGAGAAAACAUUCAGCCUUUAGUUCUUUGGGAUUGACUUAUUUUGUUUAGCAUGAUAUUCUUUAGUUCCACCCAUUUACCCUCAAAUUGCGUUAUAAUUUCAUUCUUCUUUAAGGCUGAGUAAUAUUCCAUUGAGUAUAUAUACCACAGUUUC
This 1341-nucleotide long non-coding RNA is filed under the name Marmota monax (woodchuck). Lineage: Eukaryota; Metazoa; Chordata; Mammalia; Rodentia; Sciuridae. The record is from RNAcentral.